UUCCACGGCCAUACCUGAACAUACCUGAACAUGCGUGAUCUCAGAGGCUAAGCAGGAUGGGGCCUGUUUUAGUGCUUAGAUGGGAGAUUCCCUGGGAAUAUCAGGUGUUGUAGGCU
Ribosomal RNA from Otolemur garnettii (small-eared galago), 116 nucleotides. Lineage: Eukaryota; Metazoa; Chordata; Mammalia; Primates; Galagidae. The record is from Ensembl.